Molecule: non-coding RNA, 99 nt
Organism: Mycena epipterygia
Lineage: Eukaryota; Fungi; Basidiomycota; Agaricomycetes; Agaricales; Mycenaceae
Source: the annotation of a GenBank genome assembly
UCGGACGUAGUGUAGGGUACACACUCGCCUUGCAUUAGGUAGGUAAAUAAAUGAACCAAUUUAAAGCGGGUACCCGGGGUUCGACUCCCCGCGUCUGAA